UGGGGGAUAUUGCACAAUGGAGGAAACUCUGAUGCAGCGACGCCGCGUGAGGGAAGACGGUCUUCGGAUUGUAAACCUCUGUCUUUAGGGACGAAAAAAUGACGGUACCUAAGGAGGAAGCCACGGCUAACUACGUGCCAGCAGCCGCGGUAAUACGUAGGUGGCAAGCGUUGUCCGGAAUUACUGGGUGUAAAGGGAGCGUAGGCGGGGAGACAAGUUGAAUGUUUAAACUAUCGGCUCAACUGAUAGUCGCGUUCAAAACUAUCACUCUUGAGUGCAGUAGAGGUAGGCGGAAUUCCUAGUGUAGCGGUGAAAUGCGUAGAUAUUAGGAGGAACACCAGUGGCGAAGGCGGCCUACUGGGCUGUAACUGACGCUGAGGCUCGAAAGCGUGGGUAGCAAACA
RNAcentral lists this ribosomal RNA (403 nucleotides) under uncultured bacterium. RNAcentral describes it as "bacterial SSU rRNA". It matches the Rfam family "Bacterial small subunit ribosomal RNA", at positions 355 to 774 of the family's 1533-position model. The record is from RNAcentral.